ACACCAGGCUCUAUUUUCCCU
RNAcentral lists this non-coding RNA (21 nucleotides) under Arabidopsis thaliana (thale cress). The record is from RNAcentral. Lineage: Eukaryota; Viridiplantae; Streptophyta; Magnoliopsida; Brassicales; Brassicaceae.